UGACAAGAUGGAAAAAUUAAAUCUCCAGUUCAUCGGGUUAUUUGAGAUCUUAGACAGUAUUGGUACGACAGCCUAAAGACUGACACCAUCUCCAGAGCUAUUGAUGCAAACAACGCUAAAAAUACUCAAGAUACUCAAAGAGCAUCAAAAGGUGACUUGGAGCAAAUUUCAAAUGACGUGAACACAAAUAGAGUUCCAAACCUGGAAAGUUUCAGCGGACUAGUAACAAGAUCGAAGGUAAAAAAGUUUAAAGAGUUGCUCUAACUUUUCACUUAAAAACAUGUCGAUGAUGGGCUGGCCAAUUGUGA
This 308-nucleotide long non-coding RNA is filed under the name Carica papaya (papaya). RNAcentral's name for it is "long non-coding RNA (CPAP_LNC000606)". Lineage: Eukaryota; Viridiplantae; Streptophyta; Magnoliopsida; Brassicales; Caricaceae. The record is from RNAcentral.